UACCGGAUUUGUUAUCACAUAAGCAACACGACGGGUGCCACAUGUGGAGCAGGAUCUGCUUACCCUUCCGGAGCACCUGAUAUCACCCCUAGUUUUUGUUGGGGUUCGUGUUGUUUAUUCUUUAGUUUUCUAUGUUGUGUCAUGUGUACUAUUGUUUGUCUGUUUGUCUUUUUCAUUUUUAGCCAUGGCGUUGUCAGUUUAUUUUAGAUUUCUGAGUUUGACUGUCCCUUUGGUAUCUUUCGUCACUCUUUUA
RNAcentral lists this long non-coding RNA (253 nucleotides) under Mytilus galloprovincialis (Mediterranean mussel). Lineage: Eukaryota; Metazoa; Mollusca; Bivalvia; Mytilida; Mytilidae. The record is from RNAcentral.